RNAcentral lists this ribosomal RNA (254 nucleotides) under uncultured bacterium. RNAcentral describes it as "partial 16S ribosomal RNA". It matches the Rfam family "Bacterial small subunit ribosomal RNA", at positions 524 to 776 of the family's 1533-position model. The record is from RNAcentral.
UACGUAGGGUGCGAGCGUUGUCCGGAAUUAUUGGGCGUAAAGAGCUCGUAGGCGGUCUGUCGCGUCGAUCGUGAAAACUUGGGGCUUAACCCUGAGCUUGCGGUCGAUACGGGCAUGACUGGAGUUCGGUAGGGGAGACUGGAAUUCCUGGUGUAGCGGUGAAAUGCGCAGAUAUCAGGAGGAACACCGGUGGCGAAGGCGGGUCUCUGGGCCGAUAUUGACGCUGAGGAGCGAAAGCGUGGGGAGCGAACAGG